This 464-nucleotide ribosomal RNA is filed under the name Vibrio parahaemolyticus. Its description in RNAcentral is "bacterial SSU rRNA". It matches the Rfam family "Bacterial small subunit ribosomal RNA", at positions 1 to 451 of the family's 1533-position model. The record is from RNAcentral. Lineage: Bacteria; Pseudomonadati; Pseudomonadota; Gammaproteobacteria; Vibrionales; Vibrionaceae.
AAAUUGAAGAGUUUGAUCAUGGCUCAGAUUGAACGCUGGCGGCAGGCCUAACACAUGCAAGUCGAGCGGAAACGAGUUAUCAGAACCUUCGGGGGACGAUAACGGCGUCGAGCGGCGGACGGGUGAGUAAUGCCUAGGAAAUUGCCCUGAUGUGGGGGAUAACCAUUGGAAACGAUGGCUAAUACCGCAUGAUGCCUACGGGCCAAAGAGGGGGACCUUCGGGCCUCUCGCGUCAGGAUAUGCCUAGGUGGGAUUAGCUAGUUGGUGAGGUAAGGGCUCACCAAGGCGACGAUCCCUAGCUGGUCUGAGAGGAUGAUCAGCCACACUGGAACUGAGACACGGUCCAGACUCCUACGGGAGGCAGCAGUGGGGAAUAUUGCACAAUGGGCGCAAGCCUGAUGCAGCCAUGCCGCGUGUGUGAAGAAGGCCUUCGGGUUGUAAAGCACUUUCAGUCGUGAGGAAGG